Molecule: long non-coding RNA, 2691 nt
Organism: Myodes glareolus (Bank vole)
Lineage: Eukaryota; Metazoa; Chordata; Mammalia; Rodentia; Cricetidae
Source: RefSeq, a predicted model, not a curated record
GGAAACAAAAGCAACGGGAUAUGAUGUUCAGAGUUAUCCUUGGCUACAUACCGGUGUUGGAUGCACAUACAGUUGUGCCGUCAUGUCCAUUUGGUGGACCCUAAAAUGACCUGUGCUGUUCUUGCCACCCGCCCCCUGGCCCGCAGGAACACCUCCCAGGCACCGUUGUAAGCACUGAGGACAUCACUUUUACCAGAGAAGAUUCUGGGAGAAGAAAUCCCACAAAUAUGGAAAGGAGUCAACAUCUGAAAGUGUCAUAUUUUUGGCCCUCUGGGAAAGGGAGAAGGGAGCCGAGUUUCCCAGCAGGCACUACACAACUGCGCUCUUCCCACACCCUUCAGCAAGCUUCCUGUGAAGGUGAUGUGCCAGGCACAGUGUGCAGAGGCAAUGGCCCAAAGAGGAGGAGGCAUCUAUCCUGAAGUUCACUGUGGGAGAAGAAGCGUGUGGGUGGAUGAGGCAGGGUUCUCCAGGGGAACAGAACAGACAGAAUGGAUAUACAUGAAAAAAGUGCACUUUCUUGGAAUGGUUUUCAGGAUAGGACUGAGUAGUCCAAAGUUAGCCUUCUACACCCUGGAGAGCCUGGGAAGGGCUAUCUGCCUAGUCCGCGAGCCAGAAGACACAGCAGUCCCAAUUUGAUGCCGAAGGCCUGGAGGAUCCCUGCUUGUUACUGGACUUCGUGAGAAGCUGGACAAUGACUUCAGCGGAGUACGGUGGCGGGGGGCAGCAGACACAACAGCAAGAAGCCAAGGUCUGCAGGUGACACCGCUUUCUCUUCAGACCUCAUUCUAUCCAAGGGCCACGGCCACCCCUUGGGAAGUGUCGCCCACUGUGAGGGAGGGUCUUUCUCACUCGGUUAGUUAUUUUUGGAAACACCUUCACAGGCUGGCACAGAGGUGUGCCUCUUUGUGUCAUAGCCCAUCAAGCCGACAAUGAAGUUUAACCGACACAGUGAGCGAUUAUGUUCCUAGCAACUGGAGCUACGAUUGAGAAUUCUCCAUGGGAGUGUCAUGGUACUGUGAAAUGGGGAAGGGGACAUUUCAUUUGAGUCCCGGGAAGGGCUAGGAGACGGCAGGUGGGGAUGGGGAGAGAAGACAUUCAGAGAGGAAUUGUCUACAGACAGGACAACCAGUUGCAGAGGUAAUUAAGUUCUGAAACCAAGGCUGUACAGACAGCGGCCUCUGACAACAGUAAGGGUCAGGUAGGGUUCUGCAGGGAUUCAGGACUAGCAAAAGGCUCAUGCUGGAACCAAUUCUUAUGAUCAGUUAAUAGACGACUGAUCUGUUUGCCUUUAUUCUUUUAAGUUCAUAAAACUGUUGGACAGUGCACGCCUUUAAUCCCUGAGAGGCAGGAGGAUCUCUGUGAGUUCAAGGCCAGUCUGGUCUACCUAGUGAGUUCCAGGAUAGUCAGAGCUACAUGAGACCAGACCCUUUCUCAAAAAUACGUAUGUGUAUGUUUAUAUAUAAACAUAUAUAACAUAUGUUUAUUUUUGUAAGUUUUUAUUGACAUGUGUGUGAGGAGGGGUUGAGCGUUUGAGUGUGGUGUCACUAGAGGCCAGAAGAGGACAUCAGAUUCCUUGGAGCUGGAGUUACAGGCCGUUGCCAGCUGCCUGACACGGGUCCUCUGCAACAAUGUUAUGUGCUCUUAACCACUGCGCAGUCUCUCCAGACCUUCCUCUUUGCUUCCUGAUGCAGAAACCACCAAGACCCCCACACAGUUUUUCUGGUCUGUUUAAAGUAUCAGAGAAGAAUGAAGCACAUUAGGGAAUGGAGUACAGAUUGAUACAACCUCUACAGAAGACACAUUGCCUAUCACUGUGAGCCAGCAAUUCCACUUCUAGACAUCAUCUGUAGUGUGUGCACUUGUGUGGAAUGACUGCUAUGCAUCUCACCAUUGUUCAUCAUAGUAAAAUAUUGGAAAGUAAAUGUUCAUCAAGGGAGGGUCAGAUGAGCACAAAACACUACCUUUUUAACAUAGAAUAUUAUUCAACACAGAAAAAAAAUCCAAAACAAAGCAAGGGCUAUAUAGCUCUCUGUUAGGACUCAUUUUUAUCUUAUGCAGCAAUAGAUCACUAGGAUAAUUGGCAUCAGUAUAAUUUUUCAUGGGGAGAUACUUAGUGCUUCUAGCUAAGUGCAUUGUGACGUGUGUCUUGUGAAUAAACACGCACUUCUGUAGGUUAUAAACUUGGGCGCGGAAAUGGAUGUGCAGCUUUAGGGAGCCGUCGAGAGUGUCCGCAGCGCCAGUCACGCCCUCACCGGCCGCACAGGUGCAGUCUGACUGCCGGCUCACAGGCUGCGCACAGGUGUAGCUUUAGAGAGCGUGUGGAGAGACUUCACAGCGCCAGCCACGCCCUCACCAGCAGCACAUGCGCAGUCUCACUGCUCACCCUCUCCCUAGCACUGCUUACUCCAUUUUUAUCCUCGCCAUUUUCAUGGAUAACAGUGGCGCCACAUCGUGGUUUUAAUUUAGAUUUUUUUCUCUUAAUGCUUAGUGAAACUUAGUGCCUUUUCAAAAGCUUGAGGGUCAUUUAGAUGUCUUCAUUUGUAAAAGUACUGAAUUUCAUCAAGUCUUUUACCUCAUUGUAAAAGUCGGGUUGGGUUUUUCAUCUUAUUUUUUGAGACAAAGUCUCACUAUAUAGCUCUGACUGUCCUGGAACACACUUUGUAGACCAGGCUGACCUUAAACUCAGAGAGA